CACAUAAUGAAUGCUGUUCUAUUGACAGGGACCAUACUGGGACACUUAACCUACUUGUGCUUCCAAGUGAGAUCAUUGUGGUUCUUUUUUCCAACCUGAAAAAUCCUUGAAGCCCUUGAAGCCAUGCCUAGUGAUACCUGUGCAUGAUCCGACCCAUACCUAACAAAAGGAUUCAGGACUCAGAAGGUCCUUGGAGAAGAUAAUGACACUGCAUUACCAAAAUGCAAGGAUAUAAAAAUAAAUUCAUUAAUACAGUGGUUCUGGAAUUUGCGUAUCAGCACUGAUACACCACCUGGUAUCAGCACUGUGGAGACACGGAGCCAAUCUGAGUUCACUACAAAGCAGUACAGAGAGUGACCCAAAGAAUCUCCUGACAACCAGGGAAUUUCAGAGGAUGAUGGAAGUUUCCCUAAGGAUGUCACUUCAAGCUAACAAUG
This 437-nucleotide long non-coding RNA is filed under the name Canis lupus familiaris (dog). RNAcentral describes it as "lncRNA (ENSCAFG00000045792.2)". The record is from RNAcentral. Lineage: Eukaryota; Metazoa; Chordata; Mammalia; Carnivora; Canidae.